Pan troglodytes (chimpanzee) is the source of this 1162-nucleotide long non-coding RNA. RefSeq lists it as uncharacterized. The record is from RefSeq and is a predicted model, not a curated record. Lineage: Eukaryota; Metazoa; Chordata; Mammalia; Primates; Hominidae. The transcript is spliced from 3 exons.
UCGGGGGUCAGGGGUCAGGGACCCACUUGAGGAGGCAGUCUGCCCGUUCUCAGAUCUCUAGCUGCGUGCUGGGAGAACCACUGCUCUCUUCAAAGCUGUCAGACAGGGACAUUUAAGUCUGCAGAGGUUUUGCUGUCUUUUUGUUUGUCUGUGCCCUGCCCCCAGAGGUGGAGCCUACAGAGGCAGGCAGGCCUCCUUGAGCUGUGGUGGGCUCCACCCAGUUCGAGCUUCCAGGCUGCUUUGUUUACCUAAUCAAGCCUGGGCAAUGGCGGGCGCCCCUCCCCCAGCUUCGCUGCCGCCUUGCAGUUUGAUCUCAGACUGCUGUGCUAGCAAUCAGCGAGACUUCGUGGGCGUAGGACCCUCCGAGCCAGGUGUGGGGUAUAAUCUCGUGGUGCGCCGUUUUUUAAGCCCGUCGGAAAAGCGCAGUAUUCGGGUGGGAGUGACCCGAUUUUCCAGUGAGAUGAACCCGGUACCUCAGAUGGAAAUGCAGAAAUCACCCGUCUUCUGCGUCGCUCACGCUUGGAGCUGCAGACCGGAGCUGUUCCUAUUUGGCCAUCUUGGCUUCUCCCUCCAAGGUGAAUAUCAUGUUCCAUGAAAGAAGGGUUAGUUCAGCCUGCAACUCAAACAAGUACAGAUAUUCUUCCAUGGAAUGACCAUCAUACUUGGAUUGUAAUAAAAAUGCUUUAGGCAAACUUCUCAUUUCAUCCUUGGCAUAUUAAAAAUAUGUAUGUUUAAGGCUUGAAACUUAACACUGUGUUUUAAUGUUUCAGUAAGGUAAUUCUUAAAUAAAAUUGGCAUUUUUAAAAAAGCCCUCUCUCACCACUCCUACUCAACAUAGUGUUGGAAGUUCUGGCCAGGGCAAUUAGACAGGAGAAAGAAAUAAAGGGUAUUCAAUUAGGAAAAGAGGAAGUCAAAUUGUCCGUUUGCAGAUGACAUGAUUGUAUAUCUAGAAAACCCCAUUGUCUCAGCCCAAAAUCUCCUUAAGCUGAUAAGCAACUUCAGCAAAGUCUCAGGAUAUAAAAUCAAUGUACAAAAAUCACAAGCAUUCUUAUACACCAACAACAGACAGAGAGCCAAAUUAUGAGUGAACUCCCAUUCACAAUUGCUUCCAAGAGAAUAAAAUACCUAGGAAUCCAACUUACAAGGGAUGUGAAGGACCUCU